RNAcentral lists this ribosomal RNA (253 nucleotides) under uncultured bacterium. RNAcentral describes it as "partial 16S ribosomal RNA". It matches the Rfam family "Bacterial small subunit ribosomal RNA", at positions 524 to 776 of the family's 1533-position model. The record is from RNAcentral.
GACAGAGGGUGCAAACGUUGUUCGGAUUCAUUGGGCGUAAAGGGUGUGUAGGUGGCGCCGUAAGUCGGGUGUGAAAUUUCGGAGCUUAACUCCGAAACUGCAUUCGAUACUGCGGUGCUUGAGGACUGGAGAGGAGACUGGAAUUCAUGGUGUAGCAGUGAAAUGCGUAGAGAUCAUGAGGAAGACCAGUGGCGAAGGCGGGUCUCUGGACAGUUCCUGACACUGAGGCACGAAGGCCAGGGGAGCAAACGGG